RNAcentral lists this long non-coding RNA (3833 nucleotides) under Medicago truncatula (barrel medic). RNAcentral describes it as "long non-coding RNA (MTRU_LNC006406)". The record is from RNAcentral. Lineage: Eukaryota; Viridiplantae; Streptophyta; Magnoliopsida; Fabales; Fabaceae.
GCACAUGAUCAGUGUAUAUCUGAGACAAAUCCCCCCAUUCUGCCCAUCUAUCUGAAAACCGAUUAGGAUAUAUUAAGGAGUCCCCAUUCAUUGUUAAAAUUUGAGCUUGCUCCCUUGUUAAAAUUACCCCUGUAUACUCGCAGAUAAAGGCUCCGGCUUGAAUAAGGUCCAAAGACCUAACUCCCCAACCAGUCUGCGCAGACCUAAACACUUCCAACCUAUGCCUGAUCCCCUUUUGUGCAACACGAUUCCGACAAUUGGGAGGACAGGAGCAAAAAGGGCCACAUUCAAAAAUCAAAGGCCUCCCUCUCACAAGCAAACCCUGAAGAUUAUAGGGAAACUCUCCUCCAUUCUUCAUAGAGCAAAAGCAGCCAUCAGUACAAGCCUCCACACAUUCACAGCCAGUAGCAUUCCCACUCUGAUGAAACACAAACUGCGGAAAAGUAGUUUUCGGAAGAUACUCAUAAUAAAGAGGUUCUUGAUUGUCAUCUAUAUCAUUAAAUAGCCUAAUAGGAACAUUCUCCCUCUUGUGUGAAAUAUCAACAGAAAGACAAUACAUAGGCUUAACAUCCAACCCAAUUUUCUUAAUCUCCCUAGCCUCUUUGAGAACAGCACUACCCAUCUUAGCCUGCCCCUCAAUUCUCCAUAGCUUAUACUUAUAAACUCCAAAACCAGACUUUCCUACAUCAAACCAACAAUCAACAAUCCUAUACAAUCCAUCAUAAACAUAAACCUUACCAGAACCGGAUGCGCUCCCUUCGUACUUCAUCCCACGAAUAACCCUAACCUCGAUUCCAUAAUGCAUACUCCUUUCCAAAGCAAGGUUUCCGCCCACCAAUUUCUGAUCACAAAUUUGCCUUGAGGAAUUCUUCUCCUGCCCUCCAUGGCCAGUGUAGAUUAUAACAUCACCGUCAUCCAAUUCCAUAUCAUCCUCAUAACCACCCGAAACAAUCACACUGGUAGCAAUUGGUUCACCAUUUGAGCACCUACUUUUAGGCAGGUAAUCAAUGCCAGCUUGUAUCUGCAUAUGCAAACCAAUUACACACAAUUCCAUCCUAAACAAAAACACAUCACCAACAUAAACUCCAGGUAUCGGUCCAACUAUCCUCUUAUCGCGAUACAGCCACAACUCACGCUUCCUCAUUAACGCAGCAGCCCUCAUAUCACCACGAAUGCGAUUACGACCACGACGCCUUCUUCCACUCGACAUCUCCCCUUCCAACCCUGCAGCUGCCACCCUACUCUCCUCACCGACUCUCAUCUCUGCCUCCAUAACCGCAACUUCAGCAGCCAACAUCCUCUCCUCAGCCAACCUCCUCUCCUCAGACAAUCUCCUCUCUUCCUCCACAGCAACUUCAGCAGCCAAUUUCCUCUCAUCAGCCAUUCUCUUCUCCUCCUCAACACUUGCCAACACGCGGAGCGAAUCAUAAAUCAUCCUAGUCUUCCUCAUCACAUCACGAAAAUGCAUCUGAUCCUUCAUACUCAGAUCUGAAACCCUCACAAGCUCCAUCACUUGACUUGCUUUCUUCCUAACCACCGCAACCGCCGUCUCUUGUUUCUCCGGAACAACAACAAUCGCUCGAUCAUUUCCCUCACAGGGCUCAGAAUCAAUAGAAUCCACCCUCAAAUUAGGAGGGUUGAGAUUUAGGUCAGGGUUACAACCAUUGACCAAAUUCUCCAUUGAAACAGCAGAAGCAUUGUUGGAAUCAUCGAUUCCCAUAAAAGGGUAAAGCGAUUUACCAAAAGUAGCAUUGAAAAGCUGUGAAAUACGGUAGUACUCAGUGUAUAAAUCAGAUUGAUCAUCGGUUUCUGAGCCAGGAGAGAAAUGGGGUUGUUGUUGAGAAUCUUGGGUCGCGAAGAAAUCAUCGAAAGGCUCCGGUUUUGGAACGAGCAGCGUCUGAAGCGGUGCUCCGGAGGAAAUGGUGGUAGUUGGGGGUGAAGGUGAGAAAUUAGGGAUUUGGUUGGAAAUAGUAAAAUUGGGGGUGGGAAUAGCAACAGAAACAUGAGAAGAAGGUUGAGAAGGAGAAGGAGUUUCAAGGGUUAAUGAGAAAGGAUCCAUUUGAGUUGUUAUGAUGAUGAAGUUGAAUGAGAAGUGAGUGUACUACUUCUCUGAGGUUAGAGAAAUAGUGGCAUUGGAGUGAGUGAGGUCAUAGAAAUGAAAUGAAAAAAAAUAUGAAAGUGGAGAACAAUUUGAUGACAGAAACAAAGUACUCUUUCAGAAGAUUUAAUGUGUGAUGAUGUAUAAGAUUAUAAAUAUUUUGUUUAUAUGGCUACAUUUACUCUUUCUUAGAAUUAUAUAGACAUAUAAUUCAUCGAUAAAUCUUGAAUAUGAUUAUAUCGAGAAAAAAUUAUGAGAGAUAUUGACCCCAAAAAAAAUUAUGCAAGGCUAAGAAAGAAUUAAGGUAAAUAUAUUAAAAAAGAAAAAUUGGGGUAUAUGUUAAACAUUAUAAUAGAAUUUUUUUUAGAGGAUUUUUUUUGUUGAAGAAAGCAUUUUUUUAAUAGGAUUAUUAAUAGCGGUUCUUGUUUUUUUUUUCUUUUUCGAAUUAGCAGUUUUUGUUUUGACUGGACAUCAUUAAUAUUAAUUAAUUAUAAUAGACUCUGUCGGUAAGAUUUGACUUCAUUGAUAAUGUUAUUGUAAAGUUAGGCAUCUUUAUCUAGAUUUGAAUUUGAAACAUCGUAGUUGUGUGUGGAAGUUUCAAUCGUAUUUUCCAUUUUCUUUAGAGUAUACACUUCAUUUAAAUUAUUUCAUUUACAAUUUAAUCUUUUUAUAAUAUAUUUAAAUCUUUAAUUAAACAAAUCAGUCAAAUCUCAUUGCAAUAGAAAUAAUUUCACCGCAAUAGUAACAAUAUCGAGCACUUUAUAAAAAGUUUAUUUUGAUCUUAUUUGUCAAAAUUAUUUGAUUGUAUUAUAUGAAAAAAAAAUUAUAACUAAGUGUAAUAAAAUAGAUAUAUACAUUUAAUGCAAUAGUAAAACGAACAUGAACAUUCCAUGUGUUAUUGAAAACUUUGUAAUCACCUUGUUCCACAACUUUCUUUUAAUAUGUGGACCCCGUUAGUUUGAUUGAGAUUAUUAGAAUCCAGUGUAGUUUUUGAAUAUGAAGGGUUCAAAUAAAAAGAAUAAUAAUGGAUUGCAACAAGAAGGAAGAAAAGAUUAGUUAAAAAAAAAAUAUGAAAGAAAGAUUUCAAUAUGGGACCUCAUGCAAAACAUAUUUUAACUUGAUUAUGCAGAAAAAAGGAAAGAGAUCAUGACUCUAGGUAAAAAAGAUUAAAGAAAAUGAAAUCUUACAAUACUAUCCAUGACCAAAAUAGAGUUUUAGCAGUCUUGCAAAACUACUUAGUUACAUACAUACUCAUAGCUUUCCUGCCCACUCGUUAGGGAUGCCAUAGUCUAUGCUGAGUUCUCUCAAUGGAGGGAUGUUCUCCAUUGCAUAUAGCAUGAGAUGGGGGAACAUCAGAUUGUCAUGAUCAUAGAGAACAAACUGAACAAAUACAUUUGGACUCGAACUAUGGCUCAAAUAGCCAGCUACAUUUCGCAAUGUUGAUAUAUCCAUAGAAUAAUCUAUAUCAGGUAUUACUGGAUAUGAUGGACGAACAUAAUUAUUGUAUAUCUGAGACAAAUCCCCCCAUUUUGCCCAUCUAUCCAUAAACCUUUUUGGAUAUAUUAACGAGUCACCAUUCAUUGUUAAAAUUUGAGCUUGUUCCCUUGUUAAAAUUACCCCGGUAUACUCGCAGAUAAAGGCUCCAGCCUGAAUAAGGUCCAAGGACCUAACUCCCCAACCAGUUUGCGCAGACCUAAACACUUCAAACAUAUGCUUGAUCCCCUUUUGUGCAACA